This 268-nucleotide unclassified non-coding RNA is filed under the name Hevea brasiliensis (rubber tree). Lineage: Eukaryota; Viridiplantae; Streptophyta; Magnoliopsida; Malpighiales; Euphorbiaceae. The record is from RNAcentral.
UCCUUUAAGUGGUUUCAACGUCUCCACUUUGGCACAUCGAUGCCGUCGGGGGGCGUCCACCCCAUCAACUUCCGCCGCCUGACCUGCUGGCUCAGGCUCUUGUUGUCGCAAAUCAUGGCCACUCUCUUCGCCCGACCCCGGAUCAAUCCAGCCUGAAUUCAGAGUUCUUCACGAACGACUACAUCACUGACGGCGUAAGGCUCNNNNNNCUCGAUCCCGAGACGGACAUCGAACUGCGGACGAGCUUCAGGCCGAAAUCUCCGCCGAA